This 71-nucleotide transfer RNA is filed under the name Candidatus Omnitrophota bacterium. RNAcentral's name for it is "Candidatus Omnitrophica bacterium tRNA-Thr". It matches the Rfam family "tRNA". From Rfam's summary of the family: Transfer RNA (tRNA) molecules are approximately 80 nucleotides in length. Their secondary structure includes four short double-helical elements and three loops (D, anti-codon, and T loops). Lineage: Bacteria; Pseudomonadati; Candidatus Omnitrophota. The record is from RNAcentral.
GCCGGGAUAGCUCAAUGGUAGAGCAGGCGAUUCGUAAUCGCCCGAUGAGAGUUCAAUUCUCUCUCCCGGCU